RNAcentral lists this ribosomal RNA (253 nucleotides) under uncultured bacterium. RNAcentral's name for it is "partial 16S ribosomal RNA". It matches the Rfam family "Bacterial small subunit ribosomal RNA", at positions 524 to 776 of the family's 1533-position model. The record is from RNAcentral.
UACGAAGGGGGCUAGCGUUGCUCGGAAUCACUGGGCGUAAAGCGCACGUAGGCGGCUUUCUAAGUCAGGGGUGAAAUCCUGGAGCUCAACUCCAGAACUGCCUUUGAUACUGGAGAGCUUGAGUCCGGGAGAGGUGAGUGGAACUCCGAGUGUAGAGGUGAAAUUCGUAGAUAUUCGGAAGAACACCAGUUGCGAAGGCGGCUCACUGGCCCGGUACUGACGCUGAUGUGCGAAAGCGUGGGGAUCAAACAGG